UGGGGAAUAUUGCGCAAUGGGCGAAAGCCUGACGCAGCAACGCCGCGUGAGUGAUGAAGGCCUUCGGGUCGUAAAGCUCUGUCGGAGGGAACGAAUGCUCUUGAGGUUAACAGCCUCGGGAGGUGACGGUACCCUCAAAGGAAGCACCGGCUAACUCUGUGCCAGCAGCCGCGGUAAUACAGAGGGUGCAAGCGUUGUUCGGAAUCAUUGGGCGUAAAGCGCGCGUAGGUGGCUUGAUAAGCCGGUUGUGAAAGCCCCGGGCUCAACCUGGGAACGGCAUCCGGAACUGUCAAGCUAGAGUGCAGGAGAGGAAGGUAGAAUUCCCGGUGUAGCGGUGAAAUGCGUAGAGAUCGGGAGGAAUACCAGUGGCGAAGGCGGCCUUCUGGACUGACACUGACACUGAGGUGCGAAAGCGUGGGUAGCAAACAGGAUUAGAUACCCUAGUAGUCCCUGAGCGGGCUGGCAAGGCGCAU
RNAcentral lists this ribosomal RNA (473 nucleotides) under uncultured bacterium. RNAcentral's name for it is "bacterial SSU rRNA". It matches the Rfam family "Bacterial small subunit ribosomal RNA", at positions 355 to 825 of the family's 1533-position model. The record is from RNAcentral.